UGAUAAGGGCUGUUAGGGGCACCCGGAAUUUCAUCUGGCAGCAGGCAACGCUGGUACAGGGAUGUACCAGCGAGGCACAAUUGAACAUGGAUGUGAAUUUGCGCCGGUUGCCAGAUGAAAGAAAAAGUAUGCCGAAAUUCCCAGUGCCCCUUGCAGACAUUAUGU
Roseburia sp. CAG:45 is the source of this 165-nucleotide regulatory RNA element. The record is from Rfam. Lineage: Bacteria; Bacillati; Bacillota; Clostridia; Lachnospirales; Lachnospiraceae.